UUCGCGUCUCUCUCUUCUAUUCUUCUUCCUACCCAGAUCGACCAAAGCAAAACUCUCUCUUCUUCUCCCUCUUUCCUUCUGGUCUCUCUCUUCCUAAUUCCCACAUCUCACAAAACAUCAAAAUCCCAAAUUAAUCAAAACAGGUAAAGAGAGAAAGGAACAACCUCUACAACAUCAAAAUCCUAGAUUAAUCCCAGAUCUUCUUUUAAAAUUAUUUUUCACUCCUCUCUGAUUCUUUCUCAUCCCUCUCUUUCAUCAUAUCCAGUACCCAAAAUGAAGCAAAACUUAUAGUCUUAGCCCAAGUUUCACAGAUAAAAUAAGAAAGCAAGAAAUGUCUCACACCCAUUCCUCUCCCUAUAAUUCUUCGUUUUUGGCUUCUGGGUUUUCUGUAAUAGUCCCUCUGUGAUCGAUCUGAUGAAGAAGAUGAAAGGGGUUGUUGCUCUAUCUUAGAAUUCAAGGGCCAGAUUUCAUAGAUUUGGAUGUUUAUGUGAUCGAUCUCCCUAUAAUUCUUCGUUUUUGGCUUCUGGGUUUUCUGUAAUAGUCUCUCUGUGAUCGAUCUGAUGAAGAAGAUGAAAGGGAAGAAUGAGUCAUGGGGUUUGGAUAGAGAUGAUGAAGCACGAGAAAGAUAG
Molecule: long non-coding RNA, 629 nt
Filed under: Rosa chinensis
Lineage: Eukaryota; Viridiplantae; Streptophyta; Magnoliopsida; Rosales; Rosaceae
Description: sRNA RchiOBHm_Chr6g0299811
Source: RNAcentral